Molecule: ribosomal RNA, 164 nt
Filed under: uncultured bacterium
Lineage: Bacteria
Description: partial 16S rRNA
Rfam family: Bacterial small subunit ribosomal RNA
Source: RNAcentral
UAGGGAAUCUUCUACAAUGGGCGAAAGCCUGAUGGAGCAACGCCGCGUGUGUGAUGAAGGGUUUCGGCUCGUAAAACACUGUUGUAAGAGAAGAAUGACAUUGAGAGUAACUGUUCAAUGUGUGACGGUAUCUUACCAGAAAGGAACGGCUAAAUACGUGCCAG